Molecule: ribosomal RNA, 94 nt
Filed under: Gopherus agassizii (Agassiz's desert tortoise)
Lineage: Eukaryota; Metazoa; Chordata; Testudines; Testudinidae
Source: RNAcentral
ACCCUGAACAUGCCCGAUCUCGUCUGAUCUCGGAAGCUAAGCAGGGUUGGGCCUGGUUAGUACUUGGAUGGUAGACCUCCUGGGAAUACUGGGU